UGAGUCCUCAUCUGCUGAACCCUGCAGGGCGGCGCUUUAAUAACGCCUCGUUCCUGCACAAACCCGGCCGGCGCUCCGUGAAUCGGUCGACACCAGGGGAGGAAGAAAAUGAUUUUAAAGACUGCUGCGGAGUUCUUCCUUUUUAUUGGACUGCUGCAGAGUUCUUCCUUUUAAUUUGGUGAAUUUGUAUUUCGUCCAAACUUUGUAAGAAUGUGUCUAAAGGAUGUUGACAUCUCAACCCUAUAUAGUCCAGUUUUAUUGAUGUCUAGACAUCUUUUUAAAACUUUCUUAGCACUGAUUCCUUGAUAAACAUGAUGCUAAUACACAGUUUGACAGGUUUAACUGGUGAACAUGGAUUUGGAGUUGAGCAGUUCAAAGGAUUUCUAGGUUUUAAGGUCAACUCAAAUUGACUUAAAUUUGUUUGAAAAGUUGUGUUUUUUCAAUUACACGUCACCUGAAUGACUCAGCUUUAUAUAGUCCAGUUUUA
Amphiprion ocellaris (clown anemonefish) is the source of this 487-nucleotide long non-coding RNA. The record is from Ensembl. NCBI's taxonomy places the organism in Eukaryota, Metazoa, Chordata, Actinopteri, Pomacentridae.